Molecule: long non-coding RNA, 2692 nt
Filed under: Rhinopithecus bieti (black snub-nosed monkey)
Lineage: Eukaryota; Metazoa; Chordata; Mammalia; Primates; Cercopithecidae
Description: lncRNA (ENSRBIG00000046191.1)
Source: RNAcentral
GCCGCCGCCGCCGCUGCUGGCCGGCGCCACCGCCGCUGCCUCGCAGGAGCCCGACAGCCCGUGCCGGCUGAAGACCGUCACGGUGUCCACACUGCCCGCCCUGCGGGAGAGCGACAUCGGCUGGAGCGGCGCCCGCGCCGGGGCCGGGGCUGGGACCGGGGCCGGAGCCGCCGCCGCCGCGUCCCCGGGCUCUCCUGGCUCUGCCGGCACAGCCGCCGAGUCGCGCCUCCUGCUCUUUGUGCGCAACGAGCUGCCGGGGCGCAUCGCGGUGCAGGACGAUCUGGACAACACCGAGCUGCCCUUCUUCACCCUGGAGAUGUCUGGCACAGCGGCGGACAUCUCGCUGGUGCACUGGAGACAGCAGUGGCUGGAGAAUGGCACCUUGUACUUCCACGUCUCCAUGAGCAGCUCCGGGCAGCUGGCCCAAGCCACCGCCCCAACUCUCCAGGAGCCCUCGGAGAUUGUUGAGGAGCAGAUGCACAUCCUCCACAUUUCUGUGAUGGGUGGCCUCAUCGCGCUGCUGCUGCUGCUGCUGGUGUUCACCGUGGCGCUGUACGCCCAGCGACGUUGGCAGAAGCGUCGCCGCAUCCCCCAGAAGAGCGCAAGCACAGAAGCCACUCAUGAGAUCCACUACAUCCCAUCUGUGCUGCUGGGUCCCCAGGCGCGGGAGAGCUUCCGUUCCUCCCGGCUGCAAACCCACAAUUCCGUCAUCGGCGUGCCCAUCCGGGAGACUCCCAUCCUGGAUGACUAUGACUGUGAGGAGGACGAGGAGCCACCUAGGCGGGCCAACCAUGUCUCCCGCGAGGACGAGUUUGGCAGCCAGGUGACCCACACUCUGGAUAGUCUGGGACGUCCAGGGGAAGAGAAGGUGGACUUUGAGAAGAAAGCAGCAGCUGAGGUGACUCAGGAGACAGUGGAGUCCCUGAUGCAGAAGUUCAAGGAGAGUUUCCGCGCUAACACGCCCAUCGAGAUCGGUCAGCUGCAACCAGCCCUGCGCAGCACGUCGGCAGGAAAGAGGAAGCGGAGGAGCAAGUCUCGAGGGGGAAUCAGCUUUGGGAGAGCCAAGGGGACGUCGGGCUCUGAGGCAGACGAUGAAACGCAGCUGACGUUCUACACGGAGCAGUACCGCAGUCGCCGCCGCAGCAAAGGUUUACUGAAAAGCCCAGUGAACAAGACAGCCCUGACAUUGAUUGCUGUGAGCUCCUGCAUCCUGGCCAUGGUGUGUGGCAGCCAGAUGUCUUGUCCCCUCACUGUGAAGGUGACUCUGCAUGUGCCCGAGCACUUCAUAGCAGAUGGAAGCAGCUUCGUGGUGAGUGAAGGGAGCUACCUGGAUAUCUCCGACUGGUUAAACCCGGCCAAGCUUUCCCUGUAUUACCAGAUCAAUGCCACCUCCCCAUGGGUGAGGGACCUCUGUGGACAAAGGACAACAGACGCCUGUGAGCAGGUCUGCGACCCAGAAACCGAAAGAUAAUCAUUAAGCAUUUACCAGCACAACACUGGAUGAGAUGAGAGCAAACCAAUGAAAGACCAAGGCAAAAAAGUGGCUAGUGGAGACCUGAACAUGUCACCAGAGUGACAUUGUGCUCCUUCCCAGGAUAGACUACCAUUAUCUUCAUCUCUCUGAGAACAGAAAGUGAACAUCCAAGGACUACUUGCUCUGGUCCAAUAAAAUGCAACACCAAACAGUUGAUAUCAUUAGGCUUUGACUUUCAAGAAUAUCAGUGUGGUAGUGUCUUAUUGUGAAACAGCUUUAUUAAAGUUCUGCACAUCUGUGGCAUCACACCAAGUUCUGUAAAUAAAACCUUUGACAAUAUGGUCUACGACACAUGAAGCAAAUGACAGCAGAACACUAACUCAUUCUUUCGUGUGUUUAUUCAUUCAUUCAAGCACUUAGUGAACCAGAGUAGAAUUGGAAUAUCUUCCUGAGUCAGACACAGCCAGGUGUAAAUUCUCUCUUCUCUGUUUCCUGGUUGUAGGGAGCUGGGUAAAUCAUUUAACAUAUUCAAGCCUCAUUUUUUAUAACUAAAAUGAGAAGAAUAAUUUCAACUUUUAGAGUUGUUGUAAGGAUGAGAUGAAAAUAAAAUUUAAAAUUCACUGGUGCAGUGGACAAUAUAUGGUGGAAACCCAAUACAAGGUUUUCUCUUAUUUUUAUAAUCAGUUAUUCAGUCAUGUGUAUCUUCACUUAUUAGUUCAAUAAAUAUUUCAUGAGCUGUUUAAUCCAACAAUGUGCAUAGCAUUAGAUUAUGUGAGAAAAAAAUAUAAUAUAAUCUCUGCCCUCUAGUAGCUAACCAGCUGAAGGAGGAAUUUAGAGUAAGCUAGACCUUCCUAUCUUUUAUUUAUUUAGUCCUUGUGUGACUUCUGAACUUUUGCAGUGAAAAAAAUUACUGGCCAGGCAUGGUGGCUCAUGUCUGUAAUCCCAGCACUUUGGGAUGCCAAGGCAGGUGGAUUACUUGAGGCCAGGAGUUCGAGACCAGCCUGGCCAACACUGUGAAACUCUGUCUCUACUAAAAAUACAAAAAUUAGCUGAGCAUGGUGGUACAUGCCCGUAAUCCCAGCUCUUUGGGUGCUGAGGCACAAGAAUUGAUUGAGCCUGAGAGGUGAAGGUUGCAGUGAGCUGAGAUUGCACCAGCGCACUCCAGCCUGGGUGACAGAGUGAGACUCUGUGAGAAAGAAAGAAAGAAAGAUAGAGAGA